UCCAGUUAUUGAGGCUCGCUCCUCUGCUUACGACUUGUAUGGAAGGGCCUUCCUCCCCCUCCUCCUCGAGAAUAACACAACAGUCCAUGUCAUUGUCUUCUAAGAACAAGUUCUUUACUGCUGCUAGUGCUUCCUCCUCACUGAUCCAUAAAUAAUAUCGGUCGGUUGGAAAGUCUGCUCUAAAUGUGGUAUUGGUUGUUCUAGCGGAUAGUAAGGAUCACGCCAUGGUGGCGACUUGUUGUUGAAUUUUUUCCCAGGUGUACUCAUAUCCUAGACUGAAAGUGGUGUCAUGUUUCUUGAGUUUUAUGGGCUUGAAGAUUCCUUGGAGGUUCUUGCCGAGUCCUUUGCCAGGUUCAUAUCCACUCCAAUUCAGUAUACUCUCGAUCUUGUUAUCCCACAAUUUGUCUUUGUCUACAACAUUUACUCAUUCAAUGUGAUUGUAAGUCAAACCACCCAGCAUCCUCCUUCCUUUGAUAGAUGGAAUAGUCUGGCGACUGUAUAUAGGGUUGCAACUGUCGCCAUGAAUGAUCACCUCCUAGUGAUUCCGUUCAAACUUUACCAACUGAUGCAUUGUUGAUGCUACGGCCCUAGCAGCACGAAUCGAUGGUUGUCCCAACAACAAAUUGUAAUAUUCUGGAACGUCUAUCACUUGGAAAUCAACAUCGAACCAAGUUGGACCCAUUUACAAACACAUACUAAUCUCCCCAAUGGUGGAAAUUUGGGUCGUCGAAAGCUUUCACACAGAUAGCUCUGUACUUUAUCUUGUGCAGUCCUUUACCCAACUUCUUGAGUGUUACCAGUGGAUAGAUAUUGAGACUGGAACCUCCAUCGAUCAGGAUUGUGGAGAUAAAAUAGUCAUCGCAUUGCAUGGUGAUGUGCAGUGCCUUGUUGUGCCCCAACCCUUCAGAUGGUAGCUCAACC
This 921-nucleotide long non-coding RNA is filed under the name Nicotiana benthamiana. Its description in RNAcentral is "long non-coding RNA (NBEN_LNC013590)". Lineage: Eukaryota; Viridiplantae; Streptophyta; Magnoliopsida; Solanales; Solanaceae. The record is from RNAcentral.